Molecule: ribosomal RNA, 650 nt
Filed under: Bacillus cereus
Lineage: Bacteria; Bacillati; Bacillota; Bacilli; Caryophanales; Bacillaceae
Description: bacterial SSU rRNA
Rfam family: Bacterial small subunit ribosomal RNA
Source: RNAcentral
CUCUUAUGAAGUUAGCGGCGGACGGGUGAGUAACACGUGGGUAACCUGCCCAUAAGACUGGGAUAACUCCGGGAAACCGGGGCUAAUACCGGAUAACAUUUUGAACCGCAUGGUUCGAAAUUGAAAGGCGGCUUCGGCUGUCACUUAUGGAUGGACCCGCGUCGCAUUAGCUAGUUGGUGAGGUAACGGCUCACCAAGGCAACGAUGCGUAGCCGACCUGAGAGGGUGAUCGGCCACACUGGGACUGACACACGGCCCAGACUCCUACGGGAGGCAGCAGUAGGGAAUCUUCCGCAAUGGACGAAAGUCUGACGGAGCAACGCCGCGUGAGUGAUGAAGGCUUUCGGGUCGUAAAACUCUGUUGUUAGGGAAGAACACCUGCUACUUGAAUAAACUGGCACCCUGACGGUAACUACCCAUAAAGCCACUGCUAACUAAAUGCCAACACCCGCGGUAAUACUUACGUGGCUACCGUUAUUCGGAAUUAUUGGCCCUAAUUCGGCGGCACGCGGUUUCUUUAUUCUUAUGUUAAAGCCCUGCGGUCCACCCCCGAAGGUCAUUGUGAAAACGGGAGAAACUUGAGUGACAAAGAGAGGAGGGUGCCCUUCCAGUGUGUAGCCUUCAUUUGUACAGAGGAGGUGCUACAAGAG